GCCAACCCAAUCCGCCAGAGCUCUCCAUUCCAAUGGAGUAAUUCCACAAUUAAAACCUGUUUCACAGGGAAUUUGAUCCAUUUAUACCAAACUCAUUUUAUACCUUCAUUGGACACUAAAAAAAAAUAUAUAUAUAUUUAUAUAAUCUGGCAGAGACAGUAUUACCAUCACAAAAAUGAGCCUACUGCAGAGGGUUUCAUACCCUUUUCAAACACUUCCAAUUGCUGUCCCCAUUACUUUCUUUACGUCCCUGGGUACCCGCCUAAUUUGGUUCAAAUGGAAGGGCAAAAAGUCCAAAUAACACUACCUGAGGCCAGAGAGGGACUGGCCACCCCUAACUUCAAGCCGUAUUAUCAGACAAGUCACUUGCUAGGUUUAGUGGAGUUGGCAAAGGAAGGGAUGCAUUAGCAAAAAAACAAAAAAUAGUUUUUGUUCGAAAAUCCAGGUAAGAAACAUUUUUCUGCUUCGGCAAUUCGGACCAAUGGUAUUCGGUUCGGUACUUCCGAACGUGGUCACUUCAGACAUUCGUAACCAUCGGAAUGUCCAAAUAGUAAUGAAAUUCGUACGAAUGUACAUUUGGAACGGAACAAAUUGCAAGUCUACUUUCUAUAUCGUAUUAAUUGGCUAAGGAUGUUUGUCCGAUGCAGUCAUGCGCAGUGGAAAACAUCCCAUGCCAGGCGGCAUGAUGUGACACGUACAGGAUGACGUCAUUGCACAUAAAGGAAUUAGCUUAUUGGUCAAGAUUCCGGUUAUUCACGUAAUUUUCCCUCCCUCUCCUUUUGCCACUUUUCAGAAAUCCAAAUCACUUUGUGCAUUCGUAAGCAUCUGAAUGGCAUAAAAAUUUGUACGAAUGUACAUUCGGAACGAAACGAAUCGCACAUGUCUAGAAUGCAUAAACCAUGGAAAUCCAGAGAGGCAAAAUUGGGACGCCGAGUCGGCACUCCUGUUUCUGAACCCCAGGUGGGC
Non-coding RNA from Pelobates cultripes (western spadefoot toad), 966 nucleotides. The record is from the annotation of a GenBank genome assembly. Lineage: Eukaryota; Metazoa; Chordata; Amphibia; Anura; Pelobatidae.